AGCACAAAAUAAUUCCCAAGUUCAAGAUUUAUUUUUGCCUUCUGAAGACAUGGUCUGUGUCACUGGAAAAGAAAAAAGGGUCAGGAACUUCCGUGCUUGUAGGAUUUGGAUGUAGAGGUGGGGGGAAUGUCUCCGGACUCGGGACCGCACCUCCUAUGUCUGUGAAUAGGACGGACUCACUGGUGUGUCCUCCACAUGUUCUUGAGGAAGUUAACAAGGCUAAACAAGGAACUCACUGUCCUGCCUGCUCAGAAGACUCAGCACAAGAGAACACACAGCAAGACUCAAGGUUUUGGAACUGGGAGGAAGCGGAAAACUGGCUCCUUCUGGCUCUCAGAUCUUGUGACUCAACAAAGAAUUUAAAAAGAAUAUUCUCCCUAUUGAAAGGCCUCAAUUUUCCCAUCUGUAUGGACAGGCGGCAAAAUGAGAUAGUUUACGUGAAAUGCUGUCGGGCCCUCAGCAGGAGCUCAGUGAGCACUGGUCUUCUUCCCUCUUGCAGAUCCGCUCCCCAGAAUCUGUCUUUCCAGGGUUUCUCUGCUCCAAUUCGUCUUGUGUCCUUUUGCCAGAUGACUUCUCCUAAAGCCAACCUCAUUCUCUCUCGCCCGUGCUCAAGCCUUGUGGCUUCCCACUGUCUAUCGGAGUGAAGUGCACACCAAAGGCCUAGGUUUUAGGCCCUUCCCGUGUGACCCUCCUCACCAGCACAAUCUCCUUUCUCUCUUCCCUCCUUCACAAACUCAGUGCCAUGGCCAACUAGGCAGCUGGCUCGCCCUUCUCUAUGCCCUGCUGUCCCCAGCCUUUGCUGACGCUGGAGAGAAGGCACUUCCUCUCCAGCCUUGCAGCCUUCUAGCUCAGCAUGACCCUUAGCUCUCAGAAAGAUACACUCAUCUUCUAAUGACAUGAAAAUGAUCAACUGAGCUUGAUUUGUAGCAAAUAAUAGAAUAAAUAAUAACGCAUAUAAUUGACCCAGCUUUUGGAACUCUGCAGGGAUCAUUUAAUUUCUCAAAGUUAGAUAAUGUUUAUGUGAAGCAGAUGCUACUGCUAAAUAUAUAAAUACACAUUUAUAAUAACUUAGUGUAUUUGUGGGUACGUGAGUAUAGAUAGGGAGAGAGAUGCUUAGAGAAGAUGGAGAUAGAUGUAAGCUAGACACUAGCUUUCUAUAUAAACAUUUACAUCUUUCUAUCUAGCAAAUUAGUUUGAGAAGGAAAAGUCAUUUACAGAUACUUUCUAGUGAAGUAUUAAUUUCCAAGUGUUAUGGGCUGACCAACUAUAUCCUUUUAUGUAAGAAGCAUAUUGCAGACAUUAAAUACUCUAUUGUGAAGACUGAAAACGACCUAAACUAUUCCAACAAUUGGGAUAUGGUUAUAGAAAUUACGGUAUACUCACAUUAUGAACUCUUAUACAGCCAUAAAAUGAUGUUUUUGGAGAAAUUAAGUGAUGUUGGAAAAAACUAGACAUGAAAUUGUAUGUUUUAUCUGCUCCUGGAUAUGUAAUUAUAAUGAUUAUAAACACUAAUGAUAAUAAUAAGCAAGAAAAAAAGACCAAAAGGAAAUAUACCAAAGGUUAAUAGUGGGAGAAGAGAAUUUUCAAUGAUUUUUUUAUUCUUCUUUAUCGUUUUCUGUGGUUUCUAAAUUCCCCACAAUAAUAAGUAUGUGUUGCUCUUACAUCAAAGAGGAAAAUACUUACAGCAUCAUUUAAGAACAAACACAGAAACAAACAAAUGUCCUUGAGCUCCGAUAAGGAAUAUAAGGAUAGAGGAAGUUCAAACAGUUCUUUUCAGCAUUGUCUACCCAGAAGCUGUCCUUCCAUGGAGGCAUCUGGAUUCCACAAAGAAAGUUUCCUCAUCAGCAGCCUCUGUGAACCAAAUGCUGUCAGCAGCUGCCUGCUAAAUACUCUCAGUGACUUGACUUAGAGGAAGAUGACCCAAGAAUGCGAGAAAAAAGGGUCCAAGAUCUUGCAAAAGAACAGAGCAUUUUUUUCUAUAACAUCUCUGUCCAUGAUUGACAACACAUACAGGCAGAAGUCUUUUUAAUUUUAUUUUGCUUUUCCUUAAGAUCUUUAAGGCUGUUUUACCAUUUGUCCAUGAGGCAAUCUUUGAGUAGAUCUCUUUCAAGAAUUGGAAUAUACACAGGAAUCUCUAAAAGAAGUACCAAUGUGACUCACAACAAUUACACAUUUACAGAUACAUGUUGGGAUUGGGGGAAGAAAAAAUUGUGAUUUGGAAUCAGUUUUCUAUAGAAAAGUAGAAAAAGGAAACGCACAUACCCUAAACAAUGCAUCCGCUGUAAAAUCCUGAAUGUCAGGCAGAGGAUGGGGGUGGCAUACAAUUGCUUUACACAUGGCACUGUGAGUGGCGCACAGAAGGGCUGGGGUAACAUUCAUGGUUGGCGGACCAACGCUUUUCAUAACAUGAAAGAUCAUAAUGACACUGCGGUAGAGCACAAUCAACUGUGCUUCUCUGUGACACCAUGAAGCUGAGCAUUCUUCCAAAGAUCUAAAGAAGAGCAAAAGACUUCGCCAGUUACAGUGGUACUGUUAAAUUAAAACUGGAAAUUGAGACUCUUGACACCCGAAAGUGUCUGAAGUCAGACUGCUGGGUGUGAACAUUGGCUCUUGUCAGACUGGUUAUCUCUGUGCUUCAGUUUCCCCCACUGUAAAAUGGGAUUAAUAGCGGUGCCUCCCUCAGAAUGUGAGGGUGGAGGGGCUCAUACAUGGCACAUACUAUUUGCUCCACAAAGGUGAUCUAUGUGGGGCACUGAGCACUGGGUGAACCUGACUUCCCUGAGCUCCGCUGAGCACUGCAUAUCACUGGCAAAGGCAUUUUCUUUUCCUUCCCUCAUCUGAAUCUAUCCAAACACUCUCUAGCAAACGGCUCAGAUCAAAUAAAACUCAACAUUUUGCA
This is a long non-coding RNA of Piliocolobus tephrosceles (Ugandan red Colobus), 2899 nucleotides long. RefSeq lists it as uncharacterized. The record is from RefSeq and is a predicted model, not a curated record. Lineage: Eukaryota; Metazoa; Chordata; Mammalia; Primates; Cercopithecidae. The transcript has 2 exons.